This 497-nucleotide ribosomal RNA is filed under the name uncultured bacterium. RNAcentral's name for it is "partial 16S ribosomal RNA". It matches the Rfam family "Bacterial small subunit ribosomal RNA", at positions 28 to 507 of the family's 1533-position model. The record is from RNAcentral.
GAUGAACGCUGGCGGCGUGCCUAAUACAUGCAAGUCGAGCGAACAGACGAGGAGCUUGCUCCUCUGACGUUAGCGGCGGACGGGUGAGUAACAAGUGGAUAACCUACCUAUAUGACUGGGAUAACUUCGUGAAACAGGAGCUAAUACUGGAUCAUAUAUUCAACCGCAUGGUGCAAUAGUUAAAGACGGUUUUGCCGACACAUAUAGCUGGAUCCGCGUCGGAUUAGCUAGUUGGUAAGGUAACGGCUUACCAAGGCAACGAUGCGUAGCUGACCUGAGAGGAUGAUCAGCCACACUGGAACUGAGACACGGUCCAGACUCCUACGGGAGGCAGCAGUAGGGAAUAUUCCGCAAUGGGCGAAAGCCUGACGGAGCAACGCCGCGUGAGUGAUGAAGGUCUUCGGAUCGUAAAGCUCUUUUAUUAGGGAAGAACAGAUGUGUAAUAAACUAUGCCCGUCUUGACGGUACCUAAACAGAAAGCCACGGCUAACUACGUG